AUGCGGGGCACCCGGCUGAAGCCACCCGUUGGCCAUGCUCUUAAACAAAUAGAUGAAUUUGUUGUGCUUGUUUCUCCCCGGGCAGUGUUACAGCCCGCAUGCAACGUCGUUGGGAGUAAAGGCGCCACCAUACUCUUGACUAGCAUGCAGCAGCAGCAGCAGCAGCAGCGGAAACUGAAGAUGGCAAGAGGAAGGCUGCUCCGUUUCGACUUUGAGCUCACCCUUCCCCUGUGUCAGAUUCUAUGGGGAACAUUUGGUAUUAGUGUUCGAUCGCCGGCGGCUCUCUUCCCCUUUUCCGAGGCACUGCCGGAGAAAGACGCCGGCGUCGCCGUCGGCUCGUGGUCUCCAGCGCACGCACUCUCUUCAAGGCAUGCUCCCUCUCGAGUCUCGACCCCCCUUCUCUUAAUCCUGAAGCCUCCAUCCCCUCCCUUCUCCCCCUCGCGCCGCCUCCCCCAUUCUCUCCCGUCGCUGCUGCUCCCCUCGCGCCGCCUUCCUCAUCCUCUCCCGUCGCUGUUGCUCCAUCUCGCGCCGCCUCCCUCAUCCUCUCCCGUCACUGCUGCUCCCCCUCGCACUGCCCCCCAGCCUCCUCACCUGGACACGGCGACCAUGAGCGCCAGCGAGAGGAGGAAGGCUGGCGACUGGGCACUGCCGUACGAGGGGCCCGCCCUCUGCGCGCAUGCCAUCGCCGUCACCACCAACGCCGGGGGCCACGGCCAUGCAUCGCCAUCACCGGGAGGAGCGUCGGCCGCCGAGACGGCCGUCCACGUCGCUGUUGCCGUCGUCCUCGCCCCGACAGAUCGUCUCUCCGGCGCGGACUCCUCCUUCGACCACAACGCCGGCAAGCUGUAUAUCAAGCAGGCUUCGUCCGGGAUAACAUUUGCAGACGAAGAUGAUCCCGAGCCAGAGUGGGCAGCACAAGAUCAAAGAAACCAACAUGUUCACCGUAGACAACUAGGAUGCUGGAGACUGUCCUUCGAGCCAGUGAGCUUGGAGAAGAUGAUACGGGCGAAGAAUACCCCAAAUUAUAAUGUGAGAUGUGUGCAUUGCUUCAUGCUUCAGGUUAUUCUGAAGUCUGUGCUUCGUGACAAGUUGGAACUAUUGCCUUUGGCCAUAUUUCAUGGGAUGUUGUACUUUUUUGCGGGGUCAAGGAUUAAUGGCUCGGAUGAACUGAUGCAGGGGAUUUACACAGGACAAAAGUAUCUGUCUAUAUCAACAGGAGGUCUUAGGUAG
Molecule: ribosomal RNA, 1230 nt
Filed under: Triticum aestivum (bread wheat)
Lineage: Eukaryota; Viridiplantae; Streptophyta; Magnoliopsida; Poales; Poaceae
Description: partial small subunit ribosomal RNA
Source: RNAcentral